RNAcentral lists this non-coding RNA (148 nucleotides) under Homo sapiens (human). Lineage: Eukaryota; Metazoa; Chordata; Mammalia; Primates; Hominidae. The record is from Rfam by way of RNAcentral.
GCCAGGCAUGGUGGUGCAUGCCUGUAAUCCCAGCUACUUGGGAGGCUGAGGCAGGAGAAUUGCUUGAACCCAGGAGGUGGAGUUUGCAGUGAGCUGAGAUUGCACCACUGCACUCCAGCUUGGGCAACAGAGCAAGAUUCCGUCUCAA